This is an RNA transcript of Daucus carota subsp. sativus, 1823 nucleotides long. RefSeq lists it as uncharacterized. NCBI's taxonomy places the organism in Eukaryota, Viridiplantae, Streptophyta, Magnoliopsida, Apiales, Apiaceae. The record is from RefSeq and is a predicted model, not a curated record. The transcript has 10 exons.
UAAAAUUUAUGUUAAACUGUAGUACGCUGCAUCUGCACAUAACUCUGGGCACGAAUCCCAACGUUCGCAUCACGCACGCCCGGUUAUAUUAUUCCCGGCUUCUCACCUUCAUUCAGUCAGGGCUUUGCAGUUCUUGAACAAUAUACCCGUUUUUUAGGAUCAUUCAUACAUAUAUAUUUAGCUUUAAGUAGUUCAAUCUUCUUGAAUUGACUGAACAAGUAGAAAUCUCCAAGUACAAGCUAUAUCACAGUUGUGAAAUUAACAUGGAGAACCCUGAUCUGUUGCCUUUUAAAGUUGGACAGUUGGCUGAGGCAAAGUCUUUUGAGAAGGGUUAUCGUGGUGCAUGGUUUAGAUGCAAGAUACAUGAGAUAUAUGUGAAGAACGGCCACAUUUGGCAUGCACUGGAAUAUAUUGAUUUCCCAGAUGAAAAAAAGAAGGUCAAGAAGUUAAAGAUCUACCAAUUGUCAGUUUGGAUAAAGAUGAAGGGAAAGGAGAAAGAAAGGCAACUAAUGGUGCGCCCACAGUAUCCUCGUACGUGCGAAGAAAUCAAUUUACCUCUUGUCAAGGGGAUCACAGAAGUAAGUAUAGGAACGGAUGAUGUCUGGAAAGUGGGUGAUAUGGUAGAUUGGUUGACUGAUGGCUGUUUUUGGACCGGAAGACUAACCGAAGUUCUUAAUGAUGGAAAAGCUGUGGUUACGUUAAUACCACCUCCUGUGGGUGAAGGCAGAACCUAUAUCGUCUCUUGCAAGGAUUUACGCCCAUCUUUAGAUUGGUCUCCGGAAAGCAGUUGGAGAGCUCCUAGUUUGCAGGAAGGUGAAAGUUACAGUUAUUCUCGCCUUAUGCAACAGCUGAAGCAAGGAAUAAAAAACACCGAUACACCUGCUGCGGGACAUAUGAAAUGUGACAUCGAUUACAAGGAUGAAGGAUCAAAGGAUUUUGUCGAUAAAACUGUAUCACCAGUUGAUGGUUCGAUCUCUUCUAAUAAUUCAGCAAACUCUUUACACACUGCCGAAAAAUCUGGCAGCGGGAAACUGAGGGACAUGUCAAGAGCAUCUGGGAGCAUUGUACCCAGGACACGUAGACUUGAGGACUUGGACAUGAGGGAUAGUGUUGUUGAGAAACCAAGUCUAUCAGAUAGUGUUUCUAGUUCACAUAUUAAAUGUGCUUCUAAUGAGACUGCUGUCCACACUGGCACUGAAGACUUAGAUAAUUCUGAGGGAGCGGUGAAGAAGGUUAAAACUGGCGGGAGUCCUCCUUUGAAUAUCGCGGUCUCUAACUCACUGGAUGCUGUGAUUAUGGAUUUAGAAGAACUUGCAAACAAGAUUCAGUGGCUGAAGGGCUUUUUAGAUUUUGGAAUUCCUUUGCCAAAUGGUACGACGCCUUCAUGGAAGCUUGUGGAACACCGAGGAUCUUCCACACCAAAAUGACUGCUUUCCAGAAAAAGCAAAUAUAGAUGGUGAAGAUCUAUUUUGUAUGCCCAUGUCAACUAUCAUAUCUGCAUCAUGUUCAGGGGCAGACUCAAGUUUAAAGAGAUGGAUCUGUAAUUGGUCGCAUUGGUAGACCUGCUGAAUAUAUCCAAAGGAAAUUGGGAAUUGUUUGGGCUGCUAGCAUAGUAUAGCUUGUUCUGUUGAACCUAUGGCUGAAGCUUUUGACAAAAUACGGUGAUAUUGCUUUUCCUCAAGGCUCGAGAAAAAGCAAAGGAAGAGUUGAAACAACUUGAUAUGCAUACAUGUAUUGUAACAGUUAAAGGUCUGUACAUAUAAUUAACGCGUUACUCGAUUGUUCACUGCAAGCUUGUUAUAUUCUAGUCCAAUUUUCGCGCA